UUGACAAAUGCACACAGACCAGACGUGCACAUGGACCAGCUGCUUGGGUUCAGAACUCCACUGACUCGACAGAUUUCCACUUAAGAACCCAUAUCUUGCUCCAUUAAGCAACAUGCCUUAUGCCCUUCCUGGAGUGGAUUUCUAACAAGACAGUAGUUGGGCCAGACUUGUACAUGCAGGUUCCCUGCUUAGGCUAUUAAAGCUCAGAGAAACUGAAAAGAUACUUAAUGUGGGGACCUCAGCUGCCUUGUUGUUAGAGCUAAGAGUCGACAGGAGAGAUGGAUCCCCUGGCAUAUCCGGGAAGAGCAUCCCAGGUAAAAGAAAGCUGAGAUGUUUGCAUAAUCAUUGGGCCCCAGGAGCAGGAUCUUCAAGAAGAACAGCAGCUGUCUCAGGACCUGUGAUAAAAUUGCAAGAAUUGGAUGCCUCACCUAUUUAAUGAGGGGGGAGGAGGGAGGGCAUCACCAGGCAGCUGACAAAUUAAUGCUGCAGCCUGUUUUGUUUUUGCUAGUAGCAGCAUGAUGUGGAGUCAGCUUCUACCAUCCCCCUCCCCCCAGGGCUAACCUGGGGGAUGCUGCUCAAAGCCUGGUUUGGGAUAACCUGGUCUCUAGAUCAAUGAGGGCCAACUGUUUAGCAAUUUUGCCACAGAUUAGCCCUGCACCUCCCCCCAGUGCCACUCUGAUCCUCUUCCCUUGACUGAUCUACUCUGCUUUCUGCUCCCUGCCCUGUGCUUCCUGCCCCAUCUGGUACUAUGCCAAUUGUCCCCUUCCCAAUCUGCCAUCAUUUUGGUUCCCACUCACAUCAGAUCUGGUGCCCACUCCAGCCAGCCCAGGACCCGUGCUCUGUGCAGUGCCCACCCCAGACCAGCUGGAGCGGGCAAAACAAGCAGUUCAUGUCCCAGGCCAACCAAGGCAGGAGAGGCAUGCAGUGCAGUCCUGGACCAGCCAGAGCAGGCCCUGGAUCUGGCAUGAGUGGGAUUGGAGGCAGGG
Molecule: long non-coding RNA, 986 nt
Organism: Alligator mississippiensis (American alligator)
Lineage: Eukaryota; Metazoa; Chordata; Crocodylia; Alligatoridae
Exons: 3
Source: RefSeq, a predicted model, not a curated record